AACGAACGCUGGCGGCAUGCCCAACACAUGCAAGUCGAACGUGACCUUCGGGUCUAGUGGCGCACGGGUGCGUAACGCGUGGGAACCUGCCCUUAGGUUCGGAAUAACUCCCCGAAAGGGGUGCUAAUACCGGAUAAUGUCUUCGGACCAAAGAUUUAUCGCCUUUGGAUGGGCCCGCGUUGGAUUAGCUAGUUGGUAGGGUAAAAGCCUACCAAGGCGACGAUCCAUAGCUGGUCUGAGAGGAUGAUCAGCCACACUGGGACUGAGACACGGCCCAGACUCCUACGGGAGGCAGCAGUGGGGAAUAUUGGACAAUGGGCGAAAGCCUGAUCCAGCAAUGCCGCGUGAGUGAUGAAGGCCUUAGGGUUGUAAAGCUCUUUUACCCGGGAUGAUAAUGACAGUACCGGGAGAAUAAGCUCCGGCUAACUCCGUG
This 433-nucleotide ribosomal RNA is filed under the name uncultured bacterium. RNAcentral's name for it is "partial 16S ribosomal RNA". It matches the Rfam family "Bacterial small subunit ribosomal RNA", at positions 29 to 507 of the family's 1533-position model. The record is from RNAcentral.